RNAcentral lists this ribosomal RNA (482 nucleotides) under uncultured bacterium. RNAcentral's name for it is "SSU rRNA". It matches the Rfam family "Bacterial small subunit ribosomal RNA", at positions 26 to 518 of the family's 1533-position model. The record is from RNAcentral.
AGGACGAACGCUGGCGGCGUGCCUAACACAUGCAAGUCGAACGCGCUCCAUUCGGUAGCAAUACUGAUGAAGAGCGAGUGGCGAACGGGUGAGUAGCACGUGAGCAACCUGCCCCGAAGACUGGGACAACACCGGGAAACCGGUGCUAAUACCGGAUAUCCCUAUCGGAUCGCAUGAUCUGAUAAGGAAAUGUUUUUCGCUUCGGGAGGGGCUCGCGGCCUAUCAGCUAGUUGGUGGGGUAAUGGCCUACCAAGGCAUCGACGGGUAGCUGGUCUGAGAGGACGAUCAGCCACACUGGGACUGAGACACGGCCCAGACUCCUACGGGAGGCAGCAGUGGGGAAUCUUGCGCAAUGGGCGAAAGCCUGACGCAGCAACGCCGCGUGGAGGACGAAGGCUUUCUGAGUUGUAAACUCCUUUCAGCAGGGACGAUUGUGACGGUACCUGCAGAAGAGCACCGGCCAACUACGUGCCAGCAGCCGA